This 1478-nucleotide ribosomal RNA is filed under the name metagenome. RNAcentral describes it as "bacterial SSU rRNA". It matches the Rfam family "Bacterial small subunit ribosomal RNA". The record is from RNAcentral.
AGAGUUUGAUCCUGGCUCAGGAUGAACGCUAGCGGGAGGCUUAACACAUGCAAGUCGAGGGGUAACAGGGUUUUCGGAUCGCUGACGACCGGCGCACGGGUGAGUAACGCGUAUGCAACCUACCUUUUACAGAGGGAUAGCCCAGAGAAAUUUGGAUUAAUACCUCAUAGCACUAUUUUUUCGCAUGAUAAGAUAGUUAAAGUUUCGGCGGUAAAAGAUGGGCAUGCGUGACAUUAGAUUGUUGGCGGGGUAACGGCCCACCAAGUCUGCGAUGUCUAGGGGUUCUGAGAGGAUGAUCCCCCACACUGGUACUGAGACACGGACCAGACUCCUACGGGAGGCAGCAGUGAGGAAUAUUGGUCAAUGGACGCAAGUCUGAACCAGCUAUCCCGCGUGAAGGAUGACGGUCCUAUGGAUUGUAAACUUCUUUUAUGUACCAAGAAUGUGCCUUACGUGUAAGGUUUUGACGGUAGUACAUGAAUAAGCAUCGGCUAACUCCGUGCCAGCAGCCGCGGUAAUACGGAGGAUGCGAGCGUUAUCCGGAUUCAUUGGGUUUAAAGGGUGCGUAGGCGGCUUAUUAAGUCAGUGGUGAAAUCCUGCGGCUCAACCGUAGAACUGCCAUUGAAACUGAUAAGCUUGAAUAUAGUUGAGGUAGGCGGAAUGAGUAGUGUAGCGGUGAAAUGCUUAGAGAUUACUCAGAACACCGAUUGCGAAGGCAGCUUACUAAACUAUCAUUGACGCUGAGGCACGAAAGCGUGGGGAGCGAACAGGAUUAGAUACCCUGGUAGUCCACGUCGUAAACGAUGUUCACUCGCUGCUUGCGAUACAUAGUAAGUGGCCAAGCGAAAGCAUUAAGUGAACCACCUGGGGAGUACGUCGGCAACGGUGAAACUCAAAGGAAUUGACGGGGGCCCGCACAAGCGGAGGAACAUGUGGUUUAAUUCGAUGAUACGCGCGAACCUUACCUGGGCUUAAAUGUAGAUUGCAUGACGUGGAAACACGCUUCCCUUCGGGGCUAUCUACAAGGUGCUGCAUGGUUGUCGUCAGCUCGUGCCGUGAGGUGUCGGGUUAAGUCCCAUAACGAGCGCAACCCCUAUCGUUAGUUGCCAUCAGGUCAUGCUGGGGACUCUAGCGAGACUGCCACCGUAAGGUGAGAGGAAGGUGGGGAUGACGUCAAAUCAGCACGGCCCUUAUGUCCAGGGCUACACACGUGUUACAAUGGCAGGUACAAAGGGCAGCUACACAGUGAUGUGAUGCUAAUCUCGAAAGCCUGUCUCAGUUCGGAUCGGAGUCUGCAACUCGACUCCGUGAAGUUGGAUUCGCUAGUAAUCGCGUAUCAGCAAUGACGCGGUGAAUACGUUCCCGGGCCUUGUACACACCGCCCGUCAAACCAUGGAAGCUGGGGGGACCUGAAGUCUGUCACCGUAAGGAGCGGCCUAGGGUAAAACCGGUAACUGGGGUUAAGUCGGAACAAGGUA